AGAAAAAUGGCUGAGUGGUUUAAAGCGAAGAUCUGCUAAAUCUUUGUAUAGAAAAAAUCUAUACCGAGGGUUCGAAUCCCUCUUUUUCUA
This 90-nucleotide transfer RNA is filed under the name Navicula sp. RNAcentral's name for it is "tRNA-Ser". It matches the Rfam family "tRNA". From Rfam's summary of the family: Transfer RNA (tRNA) molecules are approximately 80 nucleotides in length. Their secondary structure includes four short double-helical elements and three loops (D, anti-codon, and T loops). Lineage: Eukaryota; Bacillariophyta; Bacillariophyceae; Naviculales; Naviculaceae. The record is from RNAcentral.